GUCUUUUUGAAAUUUAUAAAAAGUCUGGCCUGCUCAAUGAAAUUAAAUAGCCGCGGUAUUUUGACCGUGCGAAGGUAGCAUAAUAAAUAGUCUAUUAAAUGUGGUCUGGAAUGAAAGGUUAAACGAAGAAUAUCUUUAUUAAUAUUAUGGUUGAAUUUGAAUUAUUAGUAAGAAUGCUAAUAUAAAUUAGAGGGACGAGAAGACCCUAUAGAGCUUUAUAUAUUAAAAUUUUAUGUGGAUUUUUUAAAAAUAUUUUGUUGGGGCGACGUAUAAUAUAAACAUUAAAUAUAAUUUCUGUUUUAUAGGUAUUAUGAUCCAUUUAUAGUGAUUUUAGACCAAGUUACCUUAGGGAUAACAGCGUAAUUUUAUUAUAGAGUUCUUAUCGAUAAUAAAGUUUGCGACCUCGAUGUUGGAUUAGAAUUCCUUUAUGGCGCAGGAGUUUUAUUAGGUAGUCUGUUCGACUAUUAAAAUUCUACAUGAUCU
This 483-nucleotide ribosomal RNA is filed under the name Otostigmus multidens. RNAcentral's name for it is "partial 16S ribosomal RNA". It matches the Rfam family "Bacterial large subunit ribosomal RNA", at positions 1819 to 2606 of the family's 2925-position model. Lineage: Eukaryota; Metazoa; Arthropoda; Chilopoda; Scolopendromorpha; Scolopendridae. The record is from RNAcentral.